GAUGAAGAACGCAGCGAAAUGCGAUAAGUAAUGUGAAUUGCAGAAUUCAGUGAAUCAUCGAAUCUUUGAACGCACAUUGCGCCGGCCAGUAUUCUGGCGGGCAUGCCUGUUCGAGCGUCAUUUCAACCAUCAAGCCCCAGGCUUGUGUUGGGGACCUGCGGCUGCCGCAGGCCCUGAAAACCAGUGGCGGGCUCGCUGUCACACCGGGCGUAGUAGAUUUUAUCUCGCUCAGGGCGUGCUGCGGGUUCCGGCCGUUAAAAAGCCUUUUUUACCCAAGGUUGACCUCGGAUCAGGUAGGAAGACCCGCUGAACUUAAGCAUAUCAAUAAGCGGAGGA
Molecule: unclassified non-coding RNA, 336 nt
Filed under: soil metagenome
Description: partial contains 5.8S ribosomal RNA, internal transcribed spacer 2, and large subunit ribosomal RNA
Rfam family: 5.8S ribosomal RNA (bases 1-120)
Source: RNAcentral